ACGGAAGGCAGCAGCUAAGAAUAUUCCGCAAUGGGGGAAACCCUGACGGAGCGACGCCGCGUGGACGAUGAAGGCCGGAAGGUUGUAAAGUCCUUUUAUGGCAGAGGAAUAAGCGGGGGAGUGGAAAGCCCCUGUGAUGACUGUAGGCCAUGAAUAAGCACCGGCUAAUUACGUGCCAGCAGCCGCGGUAACACGUAAGGUGCGAGCGUUGUUCGGAAUCAUUGGGCGGAAAGGGCAUGUAGGCGGUCUGUAAAGCCAGGCGUGAAAGCCGGGGGCCCAACCCCCGACCUGGGCGUGGAACUGGCGGACUGGAGUCGCUGAGGGGGAACCGGAAUUCCUGGGGUAGGGGUGAAAUCUGUAGAUAUCAGGAAGAACACCGAUGGCGAAGGCAGGUUUCCAGCAGACGACUGAGGCUGAGGUGCGAAGGUGCGGGGAGCAAACAGGAUUAGAUACCCUGUA
RNAcentral lists this ribosomal RNA (459 nucleotides) under uncultured Treponema sp. Its description in RNAcentral is "partial 16S ribosomal RNA". It matches the Rfam family "Bacterial small subunit ribosomal RNA", at positions 341 to 791 of the family's 1533-position model. Lineage: Bacteria; Pseudomonadati; Spirochaetota; Spirochaetia; Treponematales; Treponemataceae. The record is from RNAcentral.